Molecule: long non-coding RNA, 771 nt
Filed under: Zea mays
Lineage: Eukaryota; Viridiplantae; Streptophyta; Magnoliopsida; Poales; Poaceae
Description: drought responsive lncRNA
Source: RNAcentral
UGAAAAAAAGAGAACAAGAUAAUGAUGGUAAAUUGAAGUAAAAACGAUAUAAGAAUAUACCUCUAGUUUAAUCUAGGUCUAGAAGACCUAGACAAUUGCAUUUAUAUAUUUUUCUUACUUUAAGAUGUCUUUUUAAUUUUAUGAAGAUCAAGUCCUUUUAAGAUUUCUCUUUUGAUAUAGCACAUCAUCAAAUCAUUUAACUAAUCAUUGGUCAUCUUGUUGCGUGGAGCUAGGCGGAGGUUGUUGUGUUGAUUUGCUUUGAGCUCCUCGACGUUCUAAGAACAGGGACGAGUGAAUGGCGAUAGGGGCUGCAAUACAAUAGGAACUGAAGCUGGACGAUAGGCGGAAUAGGGGUCAGGGGUGAAUCGCAGAGCUAGGUCAGGUAGAAUCGCGCCGGACAGGUGGAGCUAGGCGAUGGGCGAAGCGAGGGCAAACGACGAAGUGCGAAGCUAAGCUUGGAUGGAGACACGCGGAGCUGGCUGGGCCGCUGAGGCACGCCACACGCGGAGCUGGCGAUUGGGCAGACGAUGAAGGCCCCGUUUGUUUGGGUUUUUUUAGCUUCUGACACCAAAAGCUGUUGCGGACUGCCAAACGCCCCUAGCUUUUCAGCCCACCUGUAUAAGAAUCGUUUUGGUAAAAAACAUCCAAAUCAACAUGAACACAAAAUCGGUCGAGUCGUCACGAUAGUAGGAAUCUAUCGCUUUCUAGAUCCUAAACCCUUUGGACCACUUCAUCUUCCUCCGCAUUAAUCCUCACGAUACUCAGAUUCUU